CCUACGGGUGGCAGCAGUGGGGAAUAUUGCACAAUGGGCGCAAGCCUGAUGCAGCCAUGCCGCGUGUGUGAAGAAGGCCUUCGGGUUGUAAAGCACUUUCAGCGGGGAGGAAGGCGUUAAGGUUAAUAACCUUGGCGAUUGACGUUACCCGCAGAAGAAGCACCGGCUAACUCCGUGCCAGCAGCCGCGGUAAUACGGAGGGUGCAAGCGUUAAUCGGAAUUACUGGGCGUAAAGCGCACGCAGGCGGUCUGUCAAGUCGGAUGUGAAAUCCCCGGGCUCAACCUGGGAACUGCAUUCGAAACUGGCAGGCUAGAGUCUUGUAGAGGGGGGUAGAAUUCCAGGUGUAGCGGUGAAAUGCGUAGAGAUCUGGAGGAAUACCGGUGGCGAAGGCGGCCCCCUGGACAAAGACUGACGCUCAGGUGCGAAAGCGUGGGGAGCAAACAGGAUUAGAUAGCCGAGUAGUC
RNAcentral lists this ribosomal RNA (465 nucleotides) under uncultured Klebsiella sp. RNAcentral describes it as "bacterial SSU rRNA". It matches the Rfam family "Bacterial small subunit ribosomal RNA", at positions 338 to 795 of the family's 1533-position model. The record is from RNAcentral. Lineage: Bacteria; Pseudomonadati; Pseudomonadota; Gammaproteobacteria; Enterobacterales; Enterobacteriaceae.